Papaver somniferum (opium poppy) is the source of this 3781-nucleotide long non-coding RNA. RefSeq lists it as uncharacterized. The transcript has 12 exons. NCBI's taxonomy places the organism in Eukaryota, Viridiplantae, Streptophyta, Magnoliopsida, Ranunculales, Papaveraceae. The record is from RefSeq and is a predicted model, not a curated record.
UCGAGAGAAAAAAAAUCGAGAGAAAUUCUUCUUCAGUCUUCUUCCUUCUUCUCCUCUAUUCUCCCCUAUCCACCGCAAAAAAAAAAAAAAAAAAUCUUUCUCCAUCGCGUCUCUUUUCUUCUCCGCUCCUUAUUUUUCAAGUUCUUUUUGAGAAGGAAGACUACUGCAGUUAAUUUUUCUGAUUACAGUCUAGGGUUUUUGUAAUAAUCACUCUAAUUGUGUGAUUAUGUCAUUUUCACUUCCACCUCUCCCCCUCUGUUUUGAUUCUCCGUUCUCCCAUGAUUUUCUGUUGAUUUUUUUUCUUCUCUUUUUUACCUUGAAAUCAUAUUAGAAGGUUUGAUUUAGAUGUGUUUUGAUUUUGUAGGUGAAGGAUUAUCAGUUCUAACGUGAUUUAGGGGAAGCGCCUUCUCAGUUAACAGGGGAAGCUAAACAAAAAACAAAAAUCGAUCUGAUUCAUUCCCAGCCCUGAAAUUCCUUCCCCGAUCUUCAUCAACAAUUUUUGAUCAAGAGGUGAUGGGAGUCUUAAGAAUGGGUGUUCUGAUUUGAUUUGUCGUAGAACCAUGAGGUCCUAAGGAGCAAGGAGUGCAAAUCAUUUCAGCUUAUGACCAAGGAUUCAAAAGCACCAACGGGCUUGAUGCUUAAAACUAAGGUGUAGAAAAUUCGGUUGGUAAUACGCUGGAGAUUGAUGAAAAGGUCGUUUACCUGCAAACUGGAGGGGUUCUCUUCAAUAUCGGUGUCUGUCUAUUUCAUAUACACCAAAUGGGUUCAAUGUUGAGGGGAUGAAGAUGGCAGUUAAUAACCACAAAUCUGGGACUGUUCUGGCUGUUCUUGGUUCGUUGUUGUGCUUCAACGUUUGUGAAGAUUUGGAGCUUCUGUUUCAACGAAAAGAAUUACGGUUGCAUGGACAUCUAAUCCUGGGUACAAUACAAGGAAUGAGUCUCCUGUGCUUUAGGAUGCAAAGCGGUGUCUCUUCAUCACCAGUCGGGAUAUGAGAAUGAAACACAAAUAAAAAAAAAGCGUAUGGGUGGUGGGGAUGACCAGCAAGGUGAUAUUUGUUGGUCCCACAAAACAUAAAACCAAAAAAACACAUUCCAAACCCUAAGAAAAAACAAAAAACAUAACUCUUCGUUUCCUCAACUCUGUCUUUUGAUUUCGAAAAAAAUUUUCGUCUCCUUCACUGAAUCUUUAAACUUGGGUAAAUCUUUUGAUUUCAACAACCUAGCCCUAAUCUCUAACCUUGCGUCAAUCUCAAGUAGUUGUUUCGAGGAGGAUUGGGUUCUAUUUCGAAUCAACAUGUAAAUUGAAUUCAGCCCUGAUCUCUUUCGAUCUCAACAGGUACACAAACGAUAACUCUUAACCAGGGUUUGGUUUUGGGAAGAGCAACUGAGAAUGAGUCUAAAUCGGUAAGAAUGAGAGUGGGUUAAUCGGAUAUGGGGGUUUGAGAGUUCUUGGAUGAUGAUGAGAGUUUGGUUGAGAUCGAUUUGAAACCAGAUGAAGAAAUCAAUCGAGAAAAAAUAUUCCAGGUUCAAAUAUUUCUCUAUUUUUUCCCUGUCAAUUUCAAUUGAAUUUCGAUUUCAAAAAUUACUUAUACAUUCAAUGGGGCAAUGGGUAGUUGCAGAGCUAUUGUUGGUGUUGAUACCAGAGAAAUUACAGCAAUGGGGAAAUGGAUUCUAGUGUGUGCCAUAGGCCCCGGCUCUGUCCAGAUACUAUGAUCCAAUACUUUGAAACUCACUUUUUAUUGAUUCGAUACAUUAAAACUCACUUACAGGGGUUGUUGUUGGUGUUGGAUGGCAAAGUGUCAUAGCUUAUGUGAACCUAGCCUGUUAUUACUUGGUCAGAAUUCAUGUUGUAAUGAUCCUCGGUUACCUUAUCAACAAAAGCUUAAGGCUUUCCAUUAUGUACCUCUCCCUGUUCUACUUCUCUAUGUUUAAUUCAUCGUUGUUAUCCUUUAUUUUUUAAUUUUUUUGAUUGUUGGUAGUGGGUUCUUUUAUAGAUUUUGGAACAGUAAUUACGUAAAUCCUAAUUUAUGUUCUACAAUCACAGUAACCCUUUACGUAAACCCUAAUUUAUGUUCCAUGUGCAGUUGAGAUGAACAAAACUGGAUCAAGUAGAAAUUAGUUAGACUUUAUCAAGCUUGAAGGAUGAACUUUGUGGCGCUAUGCAUUCUUAGGGAUUACAGGUAUUCAAGGUACGAUUUUUCGUCACACCAAAAUGGUGCUUGGCUUAUUACAGGGAGAAUUUCUCUUAUGAGCACUGAGAUGAUAUCCUCGACAUCCGUAAUCAAUAUUGAGGUGGAUUUAUCAAUAGGUGAUGGAAUGAGGUCUGGAUCAAUUUAUGAUGCUAAUGACACCGCUCAAUUUGCUGAGCUUUUGACACAAGAAGAGCUAACACGUCGAGCGUAGGAGAAGGACGUACAGGUGAUGAACGAAGGACCUUGGCAUAUUCCACUACACAAGAUCCCUGAAAACAUGGACAACAAGUCUACAAGGCAGAAAAUAUAGGUUUUGUGCUUAUAUACUGUCUAAAGCAUCUCUUCAAUAGUUUUUAUUCUUUACUCCAUCUUAUUUGCUUAGACUACAUUCAAUUUGUACAUAAUGAAUUUGUUUGAAUAGUCUUUCUUUUUUUUUUUUGCAACUUUUAAUAGAACCCUAAACAGUUAAUGCAGCAAUCUUUACUGCAAGGUUCUGGAAAUCCUAAAAGGAAUUCCCGCGGGGAUAAAAGAAAAAACAAAAGCUUUAUGCAAAAGGAUAAUUUCCUUAGGAGUGGUACAUUCUACAAAAACUACUUGUGCCUCCCAAUUUUCUCUCUGUACCAGAUAUUGUAGAUGAACUACUAUCAAUUCUUUAUAGUAAGUUGUUACCAAUUUUCUUCUUCAUUGAUUGUGUGUAUGUUUAGCUUCUGUCGUUCAGCUAAUAAACUUGGCAGUAUAUUAAAUCUGGAAAUUUAUUUAAGGAUAUUUUUGUGUAAAUGCUUAAGAAAGUUCUCAAGCUAGCUGAAAUCAACAAAAUCUCAAGAUCAGGCCCUCCAAAUUUUAAGUCUCAUGAUGUGGAAGCCAAAGAAUUGCGCAAUACCUUCAAGUUAAGGGUAGAACUAAGGUAUAUUCAAUUUUUCUGGACGCCUACCGACAGCAGUAAAGGGAGAUACAAAGGAACGAUGAGGUCUAUAAUAAAGCUUAAGCAUUAUGCAGCAUCAAGAAUGGGAACUAUGAGAAACUAUGUAUAAAUCAGCACCAACAUAUGGCGCUAGCCUUCUCAGUGUAGCUGUUACAUGUUCAUGACCCAACAUUCAUGAAUCCUAAAAAACAUUAUUGAUGAAAGAGGUUAACAUAAGCGGAGAAUCGGUUUUAUCUAACUCAAAUAUAUAUCUAUUGUUUUUAUUUCUUGUAUACACAUUAUGUUUUAGUUCAUGCUCUAAAUGUGAGCUUAUUUUUCUUAUUUUUCGGUUAUAUGACAUUUAGUUAUAUCUAUUUUUUUGUAUACAGAGUUUGUGACAAAGCACACCUUCUUGGUUUUGGCGUACAAUUUCCUUCAUAUUUGUUGCGGUGCAUGUUAUGUAUCAUACGUAGUAUACACAAGUGGGGGAUUCAGGUGGCAGUACCAGUUUCCAAAGCAUUUGAUUUUGCAAUGGCACUAUCAUUUAGAGAACUUUGCAGUGUAAAACCACUCAAUCAAGCUACCGGAUAAUUUCACGUUCUCUAUUGAACCACUUCCUUUCUCAGUUGAAGAGACAGAGUAUAACUGCAUUAUGAUGGUGCUUUUCAUCGUCUCAAUGUUUUCUUAAA